AUUGAACGCUGGCGGAAUGCUUUACACAUGCAAGUCGAGCGGCAGCGCGGCCUUCGGGCUGGCGGCGAGCGGCGAACGGGUGAGUAAUGCAUCGGAACAUGCCCAGUCGUGGGGGAUAACACUUCGAAAGAAGUGCUAAUACCGCAUACGUCCUGAGGGGGAAAGCGGGGGAUCGCAAGACCUCGCGCGAUUGGAGUGGCCGAUGUCAGAUUAGCUAGUUGGUGGGGUAAAGGCCUACCAAGGCGACGAUCUGUAGCUGGUCUGAGAGGAUGAUCAGCCACACUAGGACUGAGACACGGCCCAGACUCCUACGGGAGGCAGCAGUGGGGAAUUUUGGACAAUGGGGGCAACCCUGAUCCAGCCAUUCCGCGUGAGUGAAGAAGGCCUUCGGGUUGUAAAGCUCUUUCGGCAGGAACGAAACGGUGGGCUCUAACAUAGUCCGCUAAUGACGGUACCUGAAGAAGAAGCACCGGCUAACUACGUG
RNAcentral lists this ribosomal RNA (484 nucleotides) under uncultured bacterium. Its description in RNAcentral is "partial 16S ribosomal RNA". It matches the Rfam family "Bacterial small subunit ribosomal RNA", at positions 30 to 507 of the family's 1533-position model. The record is from RNAcentral.